AGGAGAGUUUGAUCCUGGCUCAGGACGAACGCUGGCGGCGUGCCUAACACAUGCAAGUCGAACGGAACUACUAGGAAGGAUCUCUUCGGAGAAACGGAAUUUUAGUUUAGUGGCGGACGGGUGAGUAACGCGUGAGUAACCUGCCUUUGAGAGGGGAAUAACGUUCUGAAAAGAACGCUAAUACCGCAUAACAUAUACUGAUCGCAUGGUCGGUAUAUCAAAGAUUUUAUCGCUCAAAGAUGGACUCGCGUCCGAUUAGCUUGUUGGCGGGGUAACGGCCCACCAAGGCGACGAUCGGUAGCCGGACUGAGAGGUUGAACGGCCACAUUGGGACUGAGACACGGCCCAGACUCCUACGGGAGGCAGCAGUGGGGGAUAUUGCGCAAUGGGGGCAACCCUGACGCAGCAACGCCGCGUGAAGGAUGAAGGUUUUCGGAUUGUAAACUUCUUUUGUCAGGGACGAAAUCUGACGGUACCUGACGAAUAAGCUCCGGCUAACUACGUGCCAGCAGCCGCGGUAAUACGUAGGGAGCAAGCGUUGUCCGGAUUUACUGGGUGUAAAGGGUGCGUAGGCGGCUAAGCAAGUCAGAUGUGAAAUCUAUGGGCUCAACCCAUAAACUGCAUUUGAAACUGCAUAGCUUGAGUGAAGUAGAGGCAGGCGGAAUUCCCCGUGUAGCGGUGAAAUGCGUAGAGAUGGGGAGGAACACCAGUGGCGAAAGCGGCCUGCUGGGGCUUAACUGACGCUGAAGCACGAAAGCGUGGGUAGCAAACAGGAUUAGAUACCCUGGUAGUCCCCU
This 797-nucleotide ribosomal RNA is filed under the name uncultured Bacillota bacterium. RNAcentral's name for it is "bacterial SSU rRNA". It matches the Rfam family "Bacterial small subunit ribosomal RNA", at positions 1 to 799 of the family's 1533-position model. Lineage: Bacteria; Bacillati; Bacillota. The record is from RNAcentral.